GAGAGAGAGACAGCAGAGAGAGAGAGAGACAGGUAGAGAGAGAGAGACAGCAGAGAGAGACAGACAGGUAGAGAGAGAGAGACAGGCAGAGAGAGAGACAGGUGGAGGAACUGCAGGCUGCUGUUGGAGAAUCAGACAGACAGGUAGCAGCUGACCCGUCUGUCGCUCGGGCCUCCUGUCUCACGGUCAGCUGAUCGAUAAGCGAUCAGAGUCAGUAUCGAUGAUGAAGAUGAUGGAGAGUCUUCUCCAGCUGUGACCUUCAGCUCCUCCUCCUCUUCCUCCUCUUCUCUCCUCCUCUGCAGGGGGGAACACACACAUCCGGUUCGGACCUUCACAAUAAAAGCCCCGGCCACCGCCAUCACUGAUGUUGACGUUAAAGAUUAAAACUAAGAUCGAUAAAUAAACAUUAUCAAGUGACUU
Sebastes umbrosus (honeycomb rockfish) is the source of this 420-nucleotide long non-coding RNA. RefSeq lists it as uncharacterized. The transcript is spliced from 2 exons. Lineage: Eukaryota; Metazoa; Chordata; Actinopteri; Perciformes; Sebastidae. The record is from RefSeq and is a predicted model, not a curated record.